Molecule: ribosomal RNA, 253 nt
Filed under: uncultured bacterium
Lineage: Bacteria
Description: partial 16S ribosomal RNA
Rfam family: Bacterial small subunit ribosomal RNA
Source: RNAcentral
GACGAAGGAUGCAAGCGUUAUCCGGAUUUACUGGGUUUAAAGGGUGCGCAGGCGGAUAUGUAAGUCAGUGGUGAAAUCUCUAGGCUUAACCUGGAAAUUGCCGUUGAUACUAUAUAUCUUGAAUGCUGUGGAGGUAAGCGGAAUAUGUCAUGUAGCGGUGAAAUGCUUAGAUAUGACAUAGAACACCUAUUGCGAAGGCAGCUUACUACGCAGAUAUUGACGCUCAUGCACGAAAGCGUGGGGAUCAAACAGG